UGGGGGAUAUUGCACAAUGGGCGAAAGCCUGAUGCAGCGACGCCGCGUGGGGGAUGAAGGCUUUCGGGUUGUAAACCUCUUUCGCUAUCGAACAAGGCCCGCUUAGUGUGGGUUGAGGGUAGGUGGAGAAGAAGCGCCGGCUAACUACGUGCCAGCAGCCGCGGUAAUACGUAGGGCGCGAGCGUUGUCCGGAAGUAUUGGGCGUAAAGGGCUUGUAGGCGGCUCGUUGCGCCUGCUGUGAAAACGCGGGGCUUAACUUCGCGCGUGCAGUGGGUGCGGGCAGGCUUGAGUGUGGUAGGGGUGACUGGAAUUCCAGGUGUAGCGGUGGAAGGCGCAGAUAUCUGGGGGAACACCGAUGGCGAAGGGAGGUGACUGGGCCAUUACUGACGCUGAGGAGCGAAAGCAUGGGUAGCGAACAGG
Molecule: ribosomal RNA, 420 nt
Filed under: bacterium
Lineage: Bacteria
Description: partial 16S ribosomal RNA
Rfam family: Bacterial small subunit ribosomal RNA
Source: RNAcentral